Molecule: long non-coding RNA, 258 nt
Filed under: Vigna radiata
Lineage: Eukaryota; Viridiplantae; Streptophyta; Magnoliopsida; Fabales; Fabaceae
Description: long non-coding RNA (VRAD_LNC004824)
Source: RNAcentral
AUUAGAUUUAUGCAUUGCAUUCACUUAGUUUGCAAUUCGAAGACCGAAUUAGCCUUCGCUUAGUUGGGUGAUUCGUCUCAGAUUUGGAUUAGAAUAGUGUGUACUUGUCNUUUGUCNGUGAUUGCAAGCAUAGUAAUUGAGUUAAUGACCAACCGUUUUUAUUCUGUAGUUGAUCCCAUUUUUACAAUUCUGUUUCCAUUUCUGUUUACAUCUGUGUUUACAUUUCUCGCAUUCACAAACCUUUCACAAACCACCCCC